UGGGGUGUAGUUCAGUGGUAGAGCAUUUACCUAGCACCCACAAGGCCCUGGGUUCAACCCCCAGCACUAUAU
This 72-nucleotide transfer RNA is filed under the name Mesocricetus auratus (golden hamster). It matches the Rfam family "tRNA". Rfam says of the family: Transfer RNA (tRNA) molecules are approximately 80 nucleotides in length. Their secondary structure includes four short double-helical elements and three loops (D, anti-codon, and T loops). Further hydrogen bonds mediate the characteristic L-shaped molecular structure. tRNAs have two regions of fundamental functional importance: the anti-codon, which is responsible for specific mRNA codon recognition, and the 3' end, to which the tRNAs corresponding amino acid is attached (by aminoacyl-tRNA synthetases). tRNAs cope with the degeneracy of the genetic code in two manners: having more than one tRNA (with a specific anti-codon) for a particular amino acid; and 'wobble' base-pairing, i.e. permitting non-standard base-pairing at the 3rd anti-codon position. Lineage: Eukaryota; Metazoa; Chordata; Mammalia; Rodentia; Cricetidae. The record is from Rfam by way of RNAcentral.